CCUACGGGUGGCAGCAGUGGGGAAUAUUGGACAAUGGGGGGAACCCUGAUCCAGCCAUGCCGCGUGUGUGAAGAAGGCCCUCGGGUUGUAAAGCACUUUCAGUGAGGAAGAACGCCUGGUGGUUAAUACCCAUCAGGAAAGACAUCACUCACAGAAGAAGCACCGGCUAACUCCGUGCCAGCAGCCGCGGUAAUACGGAGGGUGCGAGCGUUAAUCGGAAUUACUGGGCGUAAAGCGCGCGUAGGUGGCUUGAUAAGCCGGUUGUGAAAGCCCCGGGCUCAACCUGGGAACGGCAUCCGGAACUGUCAAGCUAGAGUGCAGGAGAGGAAGGUAGAAUUCCCGGUGUAGCGGUGAAAUGCGUAGAGAUCGGGAGGAAUACCAGUGGCGAAGGCGGCCUUCUGGACUGACACUGACACUGAGGUGCGAAAGCGUAGGUAGCAAACAGGAUUAGAUACCCCUGUAGUC
Molecule: ribosomal RNA, 465 nt
Filed under: Vreelandella stevensii
Lineage: Bacteria; Pseudomonadati; Pseudomonadota; Gammaproteobacteria; Oceanospirillales; Halomonadaceae
Description: partial 16S ribosomal RNA
Rfam family: Bacterial small subunit ribosomal RNA
Source: RNAcentral